UAACCUGCCCCAGACUCUGGGAUAACUUCGGGAAACCGGAGCUAAUACCGGAUAUGACACGGAGAUGCAUGUCUACCGUGUGGAAAGUUUUUCGGUCUGGGAUGGGCUCGCGGCCUAUCAGCUUGUUGGUGAGGUAAUGGCUCACCAAGGCGACGACGGGUAGCCGGCCUGAGAGGGCGACCGGCCACACUGGGACUGAGACACGGCCCAGACUCCUACGGGAGGCAGCAGUGGGGAUAUUGCACAAUGGGCGAAAGCCUGAUGCAGCGACGCCGCGUGAGGGAUGACGGCCUUUGGGUUGUAAACCUCUUUCAGCAGGGAAGAAGCGCAAGUGACGGUACCUGCAGAAGAAGCACCGGCUAACUACGUGCCAGCAGCCGCGGUAAUACGUAGGGUGCGAGCGUUGUCCGGAAUUAUUGGGCGUAAAGAGCUUGUAGGCGGUCUGUCGCGUCUGCUGUGAAAAUCCGGGGCUCAACCCCGGACUUGCAGUGGGUACGGGCAGACUAGAGUGUGGUAGGGGAGACUGGAAUUCCUGGUGUAGCGGUGAAAUGCGCAGAUAUCAGGAGGAACACCGAUGGCGAAGGCAGGUCUCUGGGCCAUAACUGACGCUGAGAAGCGAAAGCAUGGGGAGCGAACAGGAUUAGAUACCCUGGUAGUCCAUGCCGUAAACGUUGGGAACUAGGUGUGGGUCUCAUUCCACGAGAUCCGUGCCGCAGCUAACGCAUUAAGUUCCCCGCCUGGGGAGUACGGCCGCAAGGCUAAAACUCAAAGGAAUUGACGGGGG
Molecule: ribosomal RNA, 784 nt
Filed under: Nostocoides sp. 52NP13
Lineage: Bacteria; Bacillati; Actinomycetota; Actinomycetes; Micrococcales; Intrasporangiaceae
Description: bacterial SSU rRNA
Rfam family: Bacterial small subunit ribosomal RNA
Source: RNAcentral